AGUGGGGAAUCUUAGACAAUGGGCGCAAGCCUGAUCUAGCCAUGCCGCGUGAGUGAUGAAGGCCCUAGGGUCGUAAAGCUCUUUCACCUGWGAUGAUAAUGACGGUAUCWGUAGAAGAAACCCCGGCUAACUCCGUGCCAGCAGCCGCGGUAAUACGGAGGGGGUUAGCGUUGUUCGGAAUUACUGGGCGUAAAGCGUACGUAGGCGGAUUAAUAAGUUAGAGGUGAAAUCCCAGGGCUCAACCCUGGAACUGCCUUUAAAACUGUUAGUCUUGAGAUCGAGAGAGGUGAGUGGAAUUCCAAGUGUAGAGGUGAAAUUCGUAGAUAUUUGGAGGAACACCAGUGGCGAAGGCGGCUCACUGGCUCGAUACUGACGCUGAGGUACGAAAGUGUGGGGAGCAAACAGGAUUAGAUACCCUGGUAGUCCACACCGUAAACGAUGAAUGCCAGACGUCAGCAAGCAUGCUUGUUGGUGUCACACCUAACGGAUUAAGCAUUCCGCCUGGGGAGUACGGUCGCAAGAUUAAAAC
RNAcentral lists this ribosomal RNA (529 nucleotides) under uncultured Alphaproteobacteria bacterium. RNAcentral describes it as "bacterial SSU rRNA". It matches the Rfam family "Bacterial small subunit ribosomal RNA", at positions 353 to 900 of the family's 1533-position model. Lineage: Bacteria; Pseudomonadati; Pseudomonadota; Alphaproteobacteria. The record is from RNAcentral.